GGACUUGUAGCUCAAUGGACAGAGCAGUCAGCGGUUAAUGAUAACUGUUGGACAUCUUGUGGGUUCAAAUCCCACCAAGUCCG
Molecule: transfer RNA, 83 nt
Filed under: Mesobacillus foraminis
Lineage: Bacteria; Bacillati; Bacillota; Bacilli; Caryophanales; Bacillaceae
Description: Bacillus foraminis tRNA
Rfam family: tRNA
About the family: Transfer RNA (tRNA) molecules are approximately 80 nucleotides in length. Their secondary structure includes four short double-helical elements and three loops (D, anti-codon, and T loops).
Source: Rfam by way of RNAcentral